GACGAACGCUGGCGGCGUGCUUAACACAUGCAAGUCGAACGGAAAGGCCCUGCUUUUGUUGGGUGCUCGAGUGGCGAACGGGUGAGUAACACGUGAGUAACCUGCCCUGGACUUUGGGAUAACUUCAGGAAACUGGGGCUAAUACCGGAUAGGAGCUCCUGCUGCAUGGGGGGGGUUGGAACGUUUCGGCGGUUGGGGAUGGACUCGCGGCUUAUGAGCUGGUUGGUGGGGUAGUGGCUUACCAAGGCUUUGACGGGUAGCCGGCGUGAGAGGGUGACCAGCCACAUUGCGCCUGCGAUAGGGCCCAGAGGGCAACGGUAGGCAGCGGGGGGGACUCUGGUCCAGUGAGCCGGAGCGUGAUAAGACGGCGUCGGGGGCGUGAUGACGGUUUUUGGGGUGAGAACCGCUUUGGGCUGUGACGAAGCGUGAGUGACGGUACUGGAUGAAGAAGCACCGGCUAACUACGUG
RNAcentral lists this ribosomal RNA (468 nucleotides) under uncultured bacterium. RNAcentral's name for it is "partial 16S ribosomal RNA". It matches the Rfam family "Bacterial small subunit ribosomal RNA", at positions 28 to 507 of the family's 1533-position model. The record is from RNAcentral.